CCUACGGGCGGCAGCAGUGAGGAAUAUUGCACAAUGGGGGAAACCCUGAAGCAGCAACGCCGCGUGGGGGAAGAAGUAUUUCGGUAUGUAAAACCCUAUCAGCAGGGGAGAGAAUGACGGUACCUGACUAAGAAGCCCCGUCUAACUACGUGCAAGCAGCCGCGGUAAUGCGUAGGGAGCAAGCGUUAUCCGGAUUUACUGGGGGUAAAGGGAGCGUAGACGGUUGUGCAAGUCUGAAGUGAAAGCCCGCGGCUCAACUGCGGAACGGCUGUGGAAACUGUGUAACUGGAGUGCUGGAGAGGUAAGCGGAAUUCGUGGUGUAGCGGUGAAAUGCGUAGAGAUCAGGAGGAACACCGGCGGCGAAGGCGGCUUACUGGACAGUAACUGACGUUGAGGCUCGAAAGCGUGGGGAGCAAACAGGAUUAGAUACCCUUGUAGUC
Molecule: ribosomal RNA, 440 nt
Filed under: uncultured bacterium
Lineage: Bacteria
Description: partial 16S ribosomal RNA
Rfam family: Bacterial small subunit ribosomal RNA
Source: RNAcentral